This 465-nucleotide ribosomal RNA is filed under the name uncultured bacterium. Its description in RNAcentral is "partial 16S ribosomal RNA". It matches the Rfam family "Bacterial small subunit ribosomal RNA", at positions 338 to 795 of the family's 1533-position model. The record is from RNAcentral.
CCUACGGGUGGCAGCAGUGGGGAAUAUUGCGCAAUGGGCGAAAGCCUGACGCAGCGACGCCGCGUGAGGGAUGGAGUUCUUCGGAUCGUAAACCUCUAUCAGCAGGGAAGAACGGUCACUGUGCUAAUCAGCAGUGAAUUGACGGUACCCGCAAAGGAAGCACCGGCUAACUCCGUGCCAGCAGCCGCGGUAAUACGGAGGGUGCGAGCGUUAAUCGGAAUUACUGGGCGGAAAGCGAUCGUAGGCGGUAUGUCAAGUCAAGGGUGAAAUCCCCGGGCUCAACGUGGGAACUGCCUUUGAAACUGGCAAGCUGGAGUGUGUGAGAGGAUAGUGGAAUUCCAGGUGUAGGAGUGAAAUGCGUAGAUAUCUGGAGGAACAUCAGUGGCGAAGGCGACUAUCUGGAACAUAACUGACGCUGAGGAGCGAAAGCGUGGGUAGCAAACAGGAUUAGAUACCCGAGUAGUC